CCCGACUGCUAUUUGGGUGAGGAUAAGCCAUGCGAGUUGAAUGGGAUACCUAAAUUUCCCAUGGCAAACUGCUCAGUAACACAUGAUCAACUUACCCUAUAGAGAAAAAUAACCUCGGGAAACUGAGGAUAAUAUUUCAUAGUUGAAUAGGCUUGGAAAGGUUUUUCAAUAAAAGGGAUAAAAAAAAUGCAGGCGCGGAACCUCCGCAAUACACGAAAGUGUGACGGGGUUACCCAAAGUGUUCAAUUCUGAACUGUGGUAGGUGAGUAAUGUCCCCUACUAGAAAGGAGAGGGCAAGGCUGGUGCCAGCCGCCGCGGUAAAACCAGCUCUUCAAGUGGUCGGGAUAAUUAUUGGGCUUAAAGUGUCCGUAGCCGGUUUAGUAAGUUCCUGGUAAAAUCGGGUAGCUUAACUAUCUGUAUGCUAGGAAUACUGCUAUACUAGAGGGCGGGAGAGGUCUGAGGUACUACAGGGGUAGGGGUGAAAUCUUAUAAUCCUUGUAGGACCACCAGUGGCGAAGGCGUCAGACUGGAACGCGCCUGACGGUGAGGGACGAAAGCCAGGGGAGCGAACCGGAUUAGAUACCCGGGUGGUCCUGGCCGUAAACGAUGCAUACUAGGUGAUGGUACGGCCAUGAGCCGUAUCAGUGCCGUAGGGAAACCGUUAAGUGUGCCGCCUGGGAAGUACGGUCGCAAGGCUAAAACUUAAAGGAAUUGGCGGGGGAGCACCACAAGGGGUGAAGCCUGCGGUUC
This 750-nucleotide ribosomal RNA is filed under the name uncultured archaeon. RNAcentral describes it as "bacterial SSU rRNA". It matches the Rfam family "Archaeal small subunit ribosomal RNA", at positions 21 to 903 of the family's 1478-position model. The record is from RNAcentral.